CCGCAGAGGGGGCCCAGCACGCUGCCUGUUCUCCUCUCUUCUCUCUUCUAAUAACUCUCGCGAGACCAGCGGCCUGUGUGCCACGUGGAGCAUUGCCAUGGUGGGUCUCGCAAGAGUUAUUAGAGGAGAGAAGAGAGGAGAACAGGCAGUGUGUUGGGCCCCCUCUGCAGUAA
Pelobates cultripes (western spadefoot toad) is the source of this 173-nucleotide non-coding RNA. Lineage: Eukaryota; Metazoa; Chordata; Amphibia; Anura; Pelobatidae. The record is from the annotation of a GenBank genome assembly.